AUGACUCUCGGCAACGGAUAUCUCGGCUCUCGCAUCGAUGAAGAACGCAGCGAAAUGCGAUACUUGGUGUGAAUUGCAGAAUCCCGUGAACCAUCGAGUUUUUGAACGCAAGUUGCGCCCAAAGCCUUUUGGCCGAGGGCACGUCUUCCUGGGUGUCACGCAACAU
RNAcentral lists this ribosomal RNA (166 nucleotides) under Croton punctatus. Its description in RNAcentral is "5.8S ribosomal RNA". It matches the Rfam family "5.8S ribosomal RNA". Rfam says of the family: 5.8S ribosomal RNA (5.8S rRNA) is a component of the large subunit of the eukaryotic ribosome. It is transcribed by RNA polymerase I as part of the 45S precursor that also contains 18S and 28S rRNA. The record is from RNAcentral. Lineage: Eukaryota; Viridiplantae; Streptophyta; Magnoliopsida; Malpighiales; Euphorbiaceae.